Molecule: transfer RNA, 363 nt
Filed under: uncultured Microcystis sp.
Lineage: Bacteria; Bacillati; Cyanobacteriota; Cyanophyceae; Chroococcales; Microcystaceae
Description: partial 16S-23S ribosomal RNA intergenic spacer
Rfam family: tRNA (bases 135-208)
Source: RNAcentral
AAGGGAGACCUAAUUCAGGUAGGAGACGAAAAAAAAGUAGUCGCUACCAAGAAUCAAUCCCAAAAGGUCGGAGCGAGGCGAAAUUGGCUUUCAAACUAGGUUCUGGGUUCACACAAGACCUGAAUCAGGAACAAGGGCUAUUAGCUCAGGUGGUUAGAGCGCACCCCUGAUAAGGGUGAGGUCCCUGGUUCGAGUCCAGGAUGGCCCACCUGUACAGGUGGCAAAAAGAAAGAAAAGAAGCGAGGAAUCAGCACCUUAUCUUACUGACAUAGUAAGAGAGAAUGCUGGCUCUGAGUAAAGAGUCCAGAGGAACCUUGAAAACUGCAUAGAACUAGGUGAAAAAGCCAAAAAAGAAGACCGCAA